UCUACGGGAGGCAGCAGUAGGGGAUCUUCCGCAAUGGGCGAAAGCCUGACGGAGCAACGCCGCGUGAGUGAUGAAGGUCUUCGGAUCGUAAAACUCUGUUAUUAGGGAAGAACAUACGUGUAAGUAACUGUGCACGUCUUGACGGUACCUAAUCAGAAAGCCACGGCUAACUACGUGCCAGCAGCCGCGGUAAUACGUAGGUGGCAAGCGUUAUCCGGAAUUAUUGGGCGUAAAGCGCGCGUAGGCGGUUUUUUAAGUCUGAUGUGAAAGCCCACGGCUCAACCGUGGAGGGUCAUUGGAAACUGGAAAACUUGAGUGCAGAAGAGGAAAGUGGAAUUCCAUGUGUAGCGGUGAAAUGCGCAGAGAUAUGGAGGAACACCAGUGGCGAAGGCGACUUUCUGGUCUGUAACUGACGCUGAUGUGCGAAAGCGUGGGGAUCAAACAGGAUUAGAUACCCUGGUAGUCCACGCCGUAAACGAUGAGUGCUAAGUGUUAGGGGGUUUCCGCCCCUUAGUGCUGCAGCUAACGCAUUAAGCACUCCGCCUGGGGAGUACGACCGCAAGGUUGAAACUCAAAGGAAUUGACGGA
This 588-nucleotide ribosomal RNA is filed under the name bacterium enrichment culture clone 10-4. RNAcentral describes it as "bacterial SSU rRNA". It matches the Rfam family "Bacterial small subunit ribosomal RNA", at positions 338 to 917 of the family's 1533-position model. The record is from RNAcentral.